This 253-nucleotide ribosomal RNA is filed under the name uncultured bacterium. Its description in RNAcentral is "partial 16S ribosomal RNA". It matches the Rfam family "Bacterial small subunit ribosomal RNA", at positions 524 to 776 of the family's 1533-position model. The record is from RNAcentral.
UACGAAGGGGGCUAGCGUUGUUCGGAAUUACUGGGCGUAAAGCGCACGUAGGCGGAUAUUUAAGUCAGGGGUGAAAUCCCGGGGCUCAACCCCGGAACUGCCUUUGAUACUGGGUAUCUCGAGUCCGAGAGAGGUGAGUGGAAUACCGAGUGUAGAGGUGAAAUUCGUAGAUAUUCGCAAGAACACCAGUGGCGAAGGCGGCUCACUGGCCCGGUACUGACGCUGAGGUGCGAAAGCGUGGGGAGCAAACAGG